UACGUAGGGUGCGAGCGUUAAUCGGAAUUACUGGGCGUAAAGCGUGCGCAGGCGGUUUUGUAAGCCAGAUGUGAAAUCCCCGGGCUUAACCUGGGAAUGGCAUUUGGGACUGCAAGGCUGGAGUGCGGCAGAGGAGACUGGAAUUCCUGGUGUAGCAGUGAAAUGCGUAGAUAUCAGGAGGAACACCGAUGGCGAAGGCAGGUCUCUGGGCUGACACUGACGCUGAGAAGCGAAAGCAUGGGGAGCGAACAGG
RNAcentral lists this ribosomal RNA (253 nucleotides) under uncultured bacterium. RNAcentral's name for it is "partial 16S ribosomal RNA". It matches the Rfam family "Bacterial small subunit ribosomal RNA", at positions 524 to 776 of the family's 1533-position model. The record is from RNAcentral.